This 831-nucleotide ribosomal RNA is filed under the name uncultured bacterium. RNAcentral's name for it is "bacterial SSU rRNA". It matches the Rfam family "Bacterial small subunit ribosomal RNA", at positions 353 to 1199 of the family's 1533-position model. The record is from RNAcentral.
AGUGGGGAAUAUUGCACAAUGGACGAAAGUCUGAUGCAGCAACGCCGCGUGGAGGAUGACACAUUUCGGUGCGUAAACUCCUUUUAUAUGAGAAGAUAAUGACGGUAUCAUAUGAAUAAGCACCGGCUAACUCCGUGCCAGCAGCCGCGGUAAUACGGAGGGUGCAAGCGUUAUUCGGAAUCACUGGGCGUAAAGGGUGCGUAGGCGGUUUGGAAAGUCAGGUGUGAAAUCCUACAGCUUAACUGUAGAACUGCACUUGAAACUUCCAGACUAGAAUACUGAAGGGGCAGAUGGAAUUAGUGGUGUAGGGGUAAAAUCCGUAGAUAUCACUAGGAAUACCGAAAGCGAAAGCGAUCUGCUGGGAAGUUAUUGACGCUGAGGCACGAAAGCGUGGGGAGCAAACGGGAUUAGAUACCCCGGUAGUCCACGCCCUAAACGAUGAAUGCUAGUCGUCGGAAAGCUCGUCUUUUCGGUGAUGCAGUUAACACAUUAAGCAUUCCGCCUGGGGAGUACGGUCGCAAGAUUAAAACUCAAAGGAAUAGACGGGGACCCGCACAAGUGGUGGAGCAUGUGGUUUAAUUCGAAGAUACGCGAAGAACCUUACCUAGCCUUGACAUUGAUAGAAUCUGAUAGAGAUAUCGGAGUGCCUGCUUGCAGGAACUUGAAAACAGGUGCUGCACGGCUGUCGUCAGCUCGUGUCGUGAGAUGUUGGGUUAAGUCCCGCAACGAGCGCAACCCUCGUCGUUAGUUGCUAACAGUUCGGCUGAGCACUCUAGCGAGACUGCCUUCGCAAGGAGGAGGAAGGUGAGGACGACGUCAAGUCAUCAUGGC